RNAcentral lists this long non-coding RNA (340 nucleotides) under Amborella trichopoda. RNAcentral describes it as "long non-coding RNA (ATRI_LNC003008)". The record is from RNAcentral. Lineage: Eukaryota; Viridiplantae; Streptophyta; Magnoliopsida; Amborellales; Amborellaceae.
AUGGUUUCCAGUAAAGAGGACUAUACUUGCGCGAAGUUCUCGGGAAUGGUUUUGCUCUAAGAUUUGAGAGCUCCUUUGAGAAGCUGAAUUUUCCUUUGGAGGAUAAAUCCCGCUCUCCCCUAGACCUGAGAAUCGAAGGAAGUCCACCAGGAUUUAACAAGGGCUGGGAGGUCCUUCUCUAGGAGCCAAUGCAGUUCGAAUCUGAAAGGUCGAGUGCCCCUAUUUACAGGAUUCGUGUUGAGAAGGAUGGGACAGUGGUUCGAAGUAGGUUUAGGUAGGGCCAAAGAUAGCAAUCUAGGGAAAUGUUCCUCCCAAUUUGCUGAAUCAAGAACUUAUUAAG